AAAUUGAAGAGUUUGAUCAUGGCUCAGAUUGAACGCUGGCGGCAGGCCUAACACAUGCAAGUCGAACGGUAACAGGAAGCAGCUUGCUGCUUUGCUGACGAGUGGCGGACGGGUGAGUAAUGUCUGGGAAACUGCCCGAUGGAGGGGGAUAACUACUGGAAACGGUAGCUAAUACCGCAUAACGUCGCAAGACCAAAGAGGGGGACCUUAGGGCCUCUUGCCAUCGGAUGUGCCCAGAUGGGAUUAGCUAGUAGGUGGGGUAACGGCUCACCUAGGCGACGAUCCCUAGCUGGUCUGAGAGGAUGACCAGCCACACUGGAACUGAGACACGGUCCAGACUCCUACGGGAGGCAGCAGUGGGGAAUAUUGCACAAUGGGCGCAAGCCUGAUGCAGCCAUGCCGCGUGUAUGAAGAAGGCCUUCGGGUUGUAAAGUACUUUCAGCGGGGAGGAAGGGAGUAAAGUUAAUACCUUUGCUCAUUGACGUUACCCGCAGAAGAAGCACCGGCUAACUCCGUGCCAGCAGCCGCGGUAAUACGGAGGGUGCAAGCGUUAAUCGGAAUUACUGGGCGUAAAGCGCACGCAGGCGGUUUGUUAAGUCAGAUGUGAAAUCCCCGGGCUCAACCUGGGAACUGCAUCUGAUACUGGCAAGCUUGAGUCUCGUAGAGGGGGGUAGAAUUCCAGGUGUAGCGGUGAAAUGCGUAGAGAUCUGGAGGAAUACCGGUGGCGAAGGCGGCCCCCUGGACGAAGACUGACGCUCAGGUGCGAAAGCGUGGGGAGCAAACAGGAUUAGAUACCCUGGUAGUCCACGCCGUAAACGAUGUCGACUUGGAGGUUGUGCCCUUGAGGCGUGGCUUCCGGAGCUAACGCGUUAAGUCGACCGCCUGGGGAGUACGGCCGCAAGGUUAAAACUCAAAUGAAUUGACGGGGGCCCGCACAAGCGGUGGAGCAUGUGGUUUAAUUCGAUGCAACGCGAAGAACCUUACCUGGUCUUGACAUCCACGGAAGUUUUCAGAGAUGAGAAUGUGCCUUCGGGAACCGUGAGACAGGUGCUGCAUGGCUGUCGUCAGCUCGUGUUGUGAAAUGUUGGGUUAAGUCCCGCAACGAGCGCAACCCUUAUCCUUUGUUGCCAGCGGUCCGGCCGGGAACUCAAAGGAGACUGCCAGUGAUAAACUGGAGGAAGGUGGGGAUGACGUCAAGUCAUCAUGGCCCUUACGACCAGGGCUACACACGUGCUACAAUGGCGCAUACAAAGAGAAGCGACCUCGCGAGAGCAAGCGGACCUCAUAAAGUGCGUCGUAGUCCGGAUUGGAGUCUGCAACUCGACUCCAUGAAGUCGGAAUCGCUAGUAAUCGUGGAUCAGAAUGCCACGGUGAAUACGUUCCUGGGCCUUGUACACACCGCCCGUCACACCAUGGGAGUGGGUUGCAAAAGAAGUAGGUAGCUUAACCUUCGGGAGGGCGCUUACCACUUUGUGAUUCAUGACUGGGGUGAAGUCGUAACAAGGUAACCGUAGGGGAACCUGCGGUUGGAUCACCUCCUUA
Molecule: ribosomal RNA, 1542 nt
Filed under: Escherichia coli
Lineage: Bacteria; Pseudomonadati; Pseudomonadota; Gammaproteobacteria; Enterobacterales; Enterobacteriaceae
Description: bacterial SSU rRNA
Rfam family: Bacterial small subunit ribosomal RNA
Source: RNAcentral